Molecule: unclassified non-coding RNA, 350 nt
Filed under: soil metagenome
Description: partial contains 5.8S ribosomal RNA, internal transcribed spacer 2, and large subunit ribosomal RNA
Rfam family: 5.8S ribosomal RNA (bases 1-120)
Source: RNAcentral
GAUGAAGAACGUAGCGAAAUGCGAUAAUUAAUGUGAAUUGCAGAAUUCAGUGAAUCAUCGAGUCUUUGAACGCACAUUGCGCCCCCUGGCAUUCCGGGGGGCAUGCCUGUCCGAGCGUCAUUGCUGCCCUUCAAGCCCGGCUUGUGUGUUGGGUCGUCGUCCCCCCCGGGGGACGGGCCCGAAAGGCAGCGGCGGCACCGCGUCCGGUCCUCGAGCGUAUGGGGCUUUGUCACCCGCUCGAUUAGGGCCGGCCGGGCGCCAGCCGGCGUCUCCAACCUUCUAUUUUACCAGGUUGACCUCGGAUCAGGUAGGGAUACCCGCUGAACUUAAGCAUAUCAAUAAGCGGAGGA